RNAcentral lists this ribosomal RNA (254 nucleotides) under uncultured bacterium. Its description in RNAcentral is "partial 16S ribosomal RNA". It matches the Rfam family "Bacterial small subunit ribosomal RNA", at positions 524 to 776 of the family's 1533-position model. The record is from RNAcentral.
UACAGAGGUGGCAAGCGUUGUUCGGAAUUACUGGGCGUAAAGGGCGCGUAGGCGGCCAUCUAAGUCAGACGUGAAAUCCCCCGGCUUAACCUGGGAACUGCGUCUGAUACUGGACGGCUUGAGUAUGGGAGAGGGAUGUAGAAUUCCAGGUGUAGCGGUGAAAUGCGUAGAUAUCUGGAGGAAUACCGGUGGCGAAGGCGGCAUCCUGGACCAACACUGACGCUGAGUGAGCGAAAGCCAGGGGAGCAAACGGG